Molecule: long non-coding RNA, 355 nt
Filed under: Marmota monax (woodchuck)
Lineage: Eukaryota; Metazoa; Chordata; Mammalia; Rodentia; Sciuridae
Source: RNAcentral
GAAAAAGGAAAGAAAAAAGAAGAAAAAGAAAAAAAAAUGCUCUUAGAAUUCUGUUUUCUUCUCUUCCAGUAGGUGGCAUUAUGCAUUCCAGGUUGAGACUCUGUCCUCAGGGUGGUGGAAGCAACCUGUGUGAGGAGGCUCUCCCUCUCCUGCCUGGUGCCUCUUCGAUUCCCAUAUCUUGGGUUGCUCCGGGUCUCUAGCCCCCUCCCCUCUCCUGCCCACCAGGUCCCAAUUGCGGGAUCUCUUGCCCACAGCCCCCUGUUCACUCCAGGCAGUCACCGCAUCAUCACAGCUGGGGGAGAGGGAGGUGGAGACCAGGCACCUUGUCAGUUGCACCCCACUCUGAUAGCCACGC